CUUGGGUUACUUCCUGGGGGAUGCUGAGUACUUGGAGAGACUUUUCUCCAGUUGGACAGGAGAGGCUGCAUGGUGAAAACAGCCCUACUUUUCCAGAGUUAGCAGGUAGAACAACGUUCUUCAACCACAUCCAGGAACAACCAUAGUAUAUCUUACGUUGGAAAGGGCCCUCAAGGGUGAUCGAGUCCCGCUCCUGGCUUAGAGAACACUGAAGUGCCUAAGGCACGGAUUUCCUCCUCCAGCUACCUGGUUCUUAACAGCUUUAGUAGAGGAAAGCAGAAGAGCAACACACCUGAGCAACACUUUGAGCUGAAGUGCCUACACAGACUGCAGAAGGCAAGUCGCUGCUGUGCAUCUCUGACUGUGCUGUAUUUUAGGAGACGGAAUGGCUAAAAAAAUAGAAAUAAAAAACAAAGCAAAAGCCCCAAGCCCCAGCCUCCCCCAGCCUGGAUUUUACUACACUGCACUAUAAAGAUACCUUUUCUGAUUUAGAGGUUUCUGUGUUUAAGACUGUGGUAGCUAAUAAAUCCCUGACAUCUGAACUGUUGGGAAGCAGCGUGCACAAUGAAACAAUAUUGUGGUUGCAGAGUGAUCAUAAUAUAUAUUUCUAAGGUUAGUUGUUCCACGUGUGUAUUUAAAGUUCUUUUGUUCUUUGCUUCUCCCUGCAAAUCUAAACAGUGCUCAGAUGAAAGCUGUGGAGUAGGAGGCUGACUUAAUGGUGCCUACUUGGCUCUGUAGCAGGGCUAUAAGAGGGUAAUAAAAUCCUUGUAGGAUUUGAUGAAAUCAGAUAGAAUGAAUGUAGCAUUAAACAAAACAAAGGACCCAUAGAUAAGCUGAAUUCUUGUUUCACUUCAAUUAUUUCCCUUUUAAUCCAGUGAGAAGAAGAAAAAAGAUGACAACUCUGCCUUUCUGUUGUUUGAGCACUGGGAUAAAGGUAGGGUCAGUGCCCAAGCCAACUGGAAGAUGAGAUUCUUUCUCAUGUUUUCACUCCAAGCUGAAUUGAAGCCUAUUUUCUGUUAGCUAGUGGGAAUCCUUUGUUGGCUUGAAUUAACAGCACUGCAAUCAGAGAGCAGAGAACUGCACAGUGUCCAUCUUGUAUGAAAGCUUGCAAGAAUUUGUUGUAGAUCUGGCUGAGAAAUCUGUCUGUGAUGUCCAACAGCCUUCAGCAUCCAGAAGAGCUCUCUUACAUGACAGCGCAGCAAGCUUCUUAAAA
This is a long non-coding RNA of Tympanuchus pallidicinctus (lesser prairie-chicken), 1213 nucleotides long. RefSeq lists it as uncharacterized. NCBI's taxonomy places the organism in Eukaryota, Metazoa, Chordata, Aves, Galliformes, Phasianidae. The transcript has 4 exons. The record is from RefSeq and is a predicted model, not a curated record.